CAGGACGAACGCUGGCGGCGUGCCUAAUACAUGCAAGUCGAGCGGAUUUGUUCCUUCGGGNACAAGUUAGCGGCGGACGGGUGAGUAACACGUAGGUAACCUGCCUAUAAGACCUGGGAUAACUAUCGGAAACGAUAGCUAAGACCGGAUAACUGGUUUUCUCGCAUGGGAGAAUCAUGAAACACGGAGCAAUCUGUGGCUUAUAGAUGGGCCUGCGGCGCAUUAGCUAGUUGGUGAGGUAACGGCUCACCAAGGCGACGAUGCGUAGCCGACCUGAGAGGGUGAACGGCCACACUGGGACUGAGACACGGCCCAGACUCCUACGGGAGGCAGCAGUAGGGAAUCUUCCGCAAUGGACGCAAGUCUGACGGAGCAACGCCGCGUGAGUGAUGAAGGUUUUCGGAUCGUAAAGCUCUGUUGCCCUAGACGAAAAGCAAGAGGAGUAACUGCCUUUUGUGUGACGGUAUAGGAGAAGAAAGCCCCGGCUAACUACGUGCCAGCAGCCGCGGUAAUACGUAGGGGGCAAGCGUUGUCCGGAAUUAUUGGGCGUAAAGCGCGCGCAGGCGGUCAAUUAAGUCUGGUGUUUAAUCCCGGGGCUCAACCCCGGUUCGCAUCGGAAACUGGUUGACUUGAGUGUAGGAGAGGAAAGUGGAAUUCCACGUGUAGCGGUGAAAUGCGUAGAGAUGUGGAGGAACACCAGUGGCGAAGGCGACUUUCUGGCCUAUAACUGAC
Molecule: ribosomal RNA, 732 nt
Filed under: Paenibacillus sp. L1960
Lineage: Bacteria; Bacillati; Bacillota; Bacilli; Caryophanales; Paenibacillaceae
Description: bacterial SSU rRNA
Rfam family: Bacterial small subunit ribosomal RNA
Source: RNAcentral